AAAUGACUUGAUUGAUAUAAAUUUUUUCUAUAUGGAAACGAAAUUGACAUUUUUCCAAAAGAGAGACGAAUUUGACACACUUCAACCAAACUGAAGACAAAAAAAAUAAUUAAACAAAAAUAAAAAAUAAAAAAUACUGAAAAGGGUAGUUUGGUAAUUGAAGGGUCAGGGAAUAUGAAUGAGGUGGAAGCAAUAAAGAGGGUGACCCACAUACAGAGAGGCAGAUGAAUAAAGGACCUUUUCUUCACAAAAAGACAAAAAAAAAAAGAAAUGAUUUUGUCACAAACAUUACAAAACUAAUAAUAGCUGGGCCCCUCGACACGUGUCACUAGAUGCGCGUGCUUCUUC
RNAcentral lists this long non-coding RNA (348 nucleotides) under Vigna radiata. RNAcentral describes it as "long non-coding RNA (VRAD_LNC007510)". The record is from RNAcentral. Lineage: Eukaryota; Viridiplantae; Streptophyta; Magnoliopsida; Fabales; Fabaceae.